Molecule: long non-coding RNA, 200 nt
Filed under: Brachypodium distachyon (stiff brome)
Lineage: Eukaryota; Viridiplantae; Streptophyta; Magnoliopsida; Poales; Poaceae
Description: long non-coding RNA (BDIS_LNC001436)
Source: RNAcentral
CACCCAUCAGUAUUCUGGUCCCACAAGUUACCCAAAAUAAGAAAUCACCUCCGAUGCUUCUUCUCUUCGUCUUCCUCCCAAGUUCCCAAUCGAUCUAUGGGGAGAGAUCCCCAAAUUAGAAAUCCAUGGCGCUGGGAGUGGGACACCACCAUCCUCCUCAUACUAGCUCCAUCUUCUUCCCCUUCAAUCAGAAAUCAGAA